CCUACGGGAGGCAGCAGUGGGGAAUUUUGGACAAUGGGCGAAAGCCUGAUCCAGCAAUGCCGCGUGAGUGAAGAAGGCCUUCGGGUUGUAAAGCUCUUUUGUCAGGGAAGAAACGGUGAGAGCUAAUAUCUCUUGCUAAUGACGGUACCUGAAGAAUAAGCACCGGCUAACUACGUGCCAGCAGCCGCGGUAAUACGUAGGGUGCAAGCGUUAAUCGGAAUUACUGGGCGUAAAGCGUGCGCAGGCGGUUUUGUAAGUCUGAUGUGAAAUCCCCGGGCUCAACCUGGGAAUUGCAUUGGAGACUGCAAGGCUAGAAUCUGGCAGAGGGGGGUAGAAUUCCACGUGUAGCAGUGAAAUGCGUAGAUAUGUGGAGGAACACCGAUGGCGAAGGCAGCCCCCUGGGUCAAGAUUGACGCUCAUGCACGAAAGCGUGGGGAGCAAACAGGAUUAGAUACCCUGGUAGUCCACGCCCUAAACGAUGUCUACUAGUUGUCGGGUCUUAAUUGACUUGGUAACGCGNGCGUACGCGNGAGUAGACCGCCGUGGGUAGGUUACGGUUCGUCGAGAAGUUAAACGUUACGAAGAGUAGUUAGGACGGNGAGAGAGCGACGGACGACGACGACGGAGGAGGAGG
RNAcentral lists this ribosomal RNA (634 nucleotides) under uncultured bacterium. Its description in RNAcentral is "bacterial SSU rRNA". The stretch from base 1 to 542 matches the Rfam family "Bacterial small subunit ribosomal RNA", at positions 338 to 873 of the family's 1533-position model. The record is from RNAcentral.